CUCAGUGAUUCAUGAAGGUCUGAACGUGUUUGUUUUCACCCAGCAGAGGGCGUUCUUCUCAUUUCUGUAGUCCUCAUGUACACAAUGAGCUCAAGACUCAUCAUGGAAGGUCAAAUCUUGCCACAGGGUGGAGCUCCAGACUUAAAUCACAGUGUUUCCGUGAGAAAAGACACAUCUGAGUUUGUCAUUUCACUCCAUCAUGCUGCUCUGUGCACUUGGAAUAUUUGCAGUACUUGCAGGAGACUCUCUUGGUGAUGUAAUAACAUCUCAUGGUUCUGAAAAAGAAGCUCAAGAUGGUAACAGUGUUACUCUCUCCUGCAACUACAGCGGUGUUGUUCUCAAUCUACUGUGGUAUCGUCAGUAUCAGAGAUCCAAACCAGAACUCCUUCUCUCCAUCACUGAAUCUGGAGAUGCAGUUAAAGCAGAUCCAUCAGCCCAAUGGUUUUCUCCUAAAGUUGACAAACUCAGAAAGCUCAUGGAACUGGAAAUCAGUCCUGCUAAAGUAUCAGACUCUGCUCUGUAUUACUGUGCUCUGCAGCCCACAGUGACAGGAAACUCUUUUCCUCAGUACAUAAUCUUUCUGCAUAUUAGUCAUGCUUUUCUUUGAUGUUUAACAAGCACAUGUAUUCUGUGUGUUGUUUCUGUGACUCAAUUAUCCAUCAGUAACUCAAGAACCUCUUUUAAAUAAUUCAAGUAGGCCUACCAACACAACACACAUUUCUAUAGAGAACAGCAACGGCUGCCAGACAAAAACCAUAAAAUUAAAGUAAAAUCUCCUUAUUUAAAUAAACUGAAAACACUGUCACAUGACCAGCAGCAACAGAACAUUAAACACUAACAGAUCUGUCUAGAUCUCAGCAUCUUUACUUAUUACAAUCUAGUUUGACUAUUUCUUUCAAACAAAA
This is a non-coding RNA of Ctenopharyngodon idella (grass carp), 905 nucleotides long. The record is from the annotation of a RefSeq genome assembly. Lineage: Eukaryota; Metazoa; Chordata; Actinopteri; Cypriniformes; Xenocyprididae.